RNAcentral lists this ribosomal RNA (486 nucleotides) under uncultured bacterium. RNAcentral describes it as "partial 16S ribosomal RNA". It matches the Rfam family "Bacterial small subunit ribosomal RNA", at positions 899 to 1397 of the family's 1533-position model. The record is from RNAcentral.
ACUCAAAGGAAUUGACGGGGGCCCGCACAAGCGGUGGAUGAUGGGGUUUAAUUCGAAGCUACGCGAAGAACCUUACCGAGGCUUGACAUCCUGCGAAUCCGCUGGAAACAGUGGAGUGCCUUCGGGAGCGCAGUGACAGGUGUUGCAUGGCCGUCGUCAGCUCGUGUCGUGAGAUGUUGGGUUAAGUCCCGCAACGAGCGCAACCCUUGUUGUCUGUUGUAUUUUUCAGACGAUACUGCCCGGGCCAACCGGGAGGAAGGUGGGGAUGACGUCAGGUCAGCAUGACCCUUACGCCUCGGGCUACACCCGUCAUACAAUGGCUGGUACAACACGUCUGCCAACCCGCGAGGGGGAGCUAAUCGUAUCAAAACCAGUCUCAGUUCGGAUUGCAGGCUGCAACUCGCCUGCAUGAAGUCGGAAUCGCUAGUAACCGUGUGUCAGCAUAUCACGGUGAAUACGUUCCCGGGCCUUGUACACACCGCCCGU